RNAcentral lists this ribosomal RNA (467 nucleotides) under uncultured bacterium. RNAcentral describes it as "partial 16S ribosomal RNA". It matches the Rfam family "Bacterial small subunit ribosomal RNA", at positions 28 to 506 of the family's 1533-position model. The record is from RNAcentral.
GACGAACGCUGGCGGCGUGCUUAACACAUGCAAGUCGAACGGAAAGGCCCUGCUUUUGUGGGGUGCUCGAGUGGCGAACGGGUGAGUAGCACGUGAGUAACCUGCCCUUGACUUUGGGAUAACUUCAGGAAACUGGGGCUAAUACCGGAUAGGAGCUCCUGCUGCAUGGUGGGGGUUGGAAAGUUUCGGCGGUUGGGGAUGGACUCGCGGCUUAUCAGCUUGUUGGUGGGGUAGUGGCUUACCAAGGCUUUGACGGGUAGCCGGCCUGAGAGGGUGACCGGCCACAUUGGGACUGAGAUACGGCCCAGACUCCUACGGGAGGCAGCAGUGGGGAAUAUUGCACAAUGGGCGGAAGCCUGAUGCAGCAACGCCGCGUGCGGGAUGACGGCCUUCGGGUUGUAAACCGCUUUCGCCUGUGACGAAGCGUGAGUGACGGUAAUGGGUAAAGAAGCACCGGCUAACUACGU